AAAACCAGAGAGCUUUCGUUUUCUGAAAAUAAAACUUGAAUUAAUUUCAUUGCUUACAGGCCAACGUAUAUAUACAUAAGAAAACAAAAUGACAGCUAGCUAAAAGAUAACAAAUUCAGAUAAAACAAAAACAAUCACUAAAUCAUUGGCCAAUAAUAUAGAGCUUCUAGAAUCUUCAUCCAAUCAUCCCAUCUGCUGAUAUUCCUCUGUGUAACUGUUUUGCCACCUCAUUGAAUUCCUCUCAUUUCUUUCAUCAGCUGACUGUAAUUGUGAGUAGCUCAGGUGGCAUGCCACUGUAGCAUUGAGGUCAUCAGUUGACUGGCUAAGAUCAUGGCUGCCAUGGCUGCUAUUUUCAACACCCUCUCUCAAACACAAGGUUUUGUCAAACACCUUGAGUUUGCUUCUGAAGCAGCUAAAUUUGUAAUAAGGCAACGGCUUAGUUAGAACAUCAGCUAUUUGAUCCCUGCCUGCAACAAAGCUGAUUUCCAUUUCACCUCUAGCUACCUUGUCCCUGAUAAAAUGUAGAUCUAUCUCAAAGUGUUUAGUCUUUGAAUGAAAAACAGGAUUGGUAGCUAUUGCUGCUGCACUUGUGCUAUCACUUAAGAUUGUUGGUGUUCUUUGUAUCUCUAGUUUCAGCUCACUUAGUAAGGAGCUAAUCCAUGUAAUUUCUGCAGCACAGAGGGCCAUUGCUCUGUAUUCUGAUUCAGACGUAGAUCUAGCAACCAAACCUUGCUUUCUUGAACUCCAAGCAAUGAGAUUUCCACCCAUAAAUACACAAUAGCCACUGAUGGACCUCCUGUCAUCCAAAUCAUUUGCCCAGUCUGCAUCUGUGUAAGCCACCAGAUCGAAAUACUCGGACUUCUUGAAUUUCAGACACAUGUUCAUGGUGUUUUUAAGAUACCUCAAUACUCUUUUGCAUGCUAUCCAGUGAGGUUGCCUAGGAUCUGACAUGUAUUGGCUGAGCUUGUUCACUGAGUAAGCAAGCUCAGGCCUUGUGAGUGUUGCAUACUGCAGGCUGCCUAUAAUACUUCGAUACAGUGUGGGAUCAUGAAACUUUUCUCCUUCAUUUUUCUUCAGCUUUUCUGUGGUACUGAAAGGUGAUUCAAUUCCCUUACAGUCACUCAUUUCUGUUUUGGCAAGCAAAUCUUGAAUAUACUUGGUUUGAGAUAGCAAAAUGGCAUUUUGUUUUCUGUUUACCUGAAUCCCCAGAAAAAAGUUUAGCUCUCCCAAAUCCUUUAAGGCAAAGGUUUUAUUUAAGUUGCUAACCAGCUCUUCAAUACUACCAUUGUUAUCACCAGUAAUAAUAAUGUCAUCAACAUAAAUAAGCAAUAUAACUAUCUCAGAUUUAGUUUUUCUGUAGAACAAUGAGGUAUCACACUUAGAAUUUUCAAAUCCCCAAGAGUUCAAGGCACCCUUCAGUUUGUCAAACCAUGCCCUGGGGGGUUGUCUCAAGCCAUACAGUGCUUUCUUUAAUCUGCAUAUGUGAUUGGGCUUGCUUUUGUUCACAAAACCUUCAGGUCGUGGCAUGUAAACCAUCUCUGUCAGCUCACCAUUCAAGAAAGCAUUGUUUAUAUCUACCUGCCUCAGCAACCAGUCAUUGUUCACUGCCAAAGUGAGGAUGAUUCUUAUUGUUGCAGCCUUGACAAUUGGGCUGAAAGUCUCUGUGAAAUCAAUGCCUGGAAUUUGCAAGAACCCCUUCACCACUAAUCUGGCCUUAUAUUUGUUUAUGGUUCCAUCUGGAUUCUCUUUAACUCUGUACACCCAUUUAUUUCCAAUCAGCUUGUAGCUUGAGUCAUUUGGUACCAAGGUCCAUGUUCCAUUUUUCAUUAAGGCAUUGUACUCAUCUUCCAUUGCCCUUUUCCAGCUUGGUUCUUUUAAAGCUUCUGAGGUGUUUGAGGGUAAUGCUAUGUGUGGUUGAGUAGUGAUUUGGUACAACUUUGGUUUAAAGAUCCCUGCUUUAGAUCUUGUUACCAUAGGAUGUGAUGGUAUAACUUCUUUUGUGUUGGGUGUUGUGAUAGGGGAUGAAGGUUGGUCAUUUGCUUGAGGCUGGUGAUUUGAAUGAGGUGAGGAUAACUGAUUAUUUGAUAUCAUAUCAUUGCUUAAAUUCUGUUGUGUCUUACCUUGGUCAAGGUUCUGGGAUUGUUCUGUGUUUUCAGGAGCUUCAAGAGAGUGGCUUUGAUCAGCUGUUGACUGAGUGUUUUGAGGAGUAUCAAGGAAGAAUGAUACGACCUGAAAUUUUUCUAAAAGAUUAAGGAAGACAUCCUGACUUGUGGACUCUUCCCUGCUGAACUUGGGGUCAUUAGAAAAAGGGAAUGAGCUUUCAUUGAACCUAACACUUGCAGAGACAUAUAUUCUACCUGAGUGAUGCAUUCAAACAUAUUCUUUGUGAGUUAAGCUUAUUCCUAGCAGUGUGCAUUUGGCAGUAUGGAAAUCAAACUUGUGCUUGUUAUAUGGUCUCAAAAAUGGAUAGCAUUCACAUCCAAACACUUUGAUUUGUGAGUAAUUUGGUUUGUGAUGGUAAAGCAUUUCAAAUGGGGUUUUGUUUCCAAUAACAGGUGAGGCUAAUCUAUUGAUAAUGUAGGUAGCAUAACUGAAGGCUUCUUGCCAAAAUUUUAAUGGCAUUUUAGCUUGUGCCAGCAAUGUGAGUCCAGUUUCUACUACAUGUCUGUGCUUUCUCUCAACCUUCCCAUUUUGUUCAUGUAAAUAAGGACAUGAUUGUCUCAAUAUAAUGCCAUCUUUGUCAAGGAAUGGUUUGAAUGGCUUAAACUCUCCUCCCAUGUCUGUCUGUAGUGCUUUAAUUUUCAGAUUCAAUUGAUUUUCAAUUUGGCUUUUGAAGGUGAUAAAUGUGUUGAGAGCUUGAGAUUUUGUUGCCAAAGGAAACAACCAGGUGUAUCUUGUCAUGUCAUCCACAAAAGAUAUGUAAUAUUUGUGUCCAUGAUUUGAAGGAAUUGGUGCUGGUCCCCAUAGGUCAGCAUGAAUCAGCUCUAGGGCUUUGCUGGUUUUAGUUUCUGUGCUCUUGAAAUUUUGCUUAGACAAUUUUCCAUACUGACAUGCACAACAAAAUGAAGGAAUAGAAUUCUUGUUUAAUUUGAACUGAUUACAAGACAACAAAGUACUUUUCAAGGCAGACUCAUUUGGAUGCCCUAGUCUGAGAUGCCAGAGAUCAAUAUCUUUCAAAACAUCAUUGCUUGACUCAUCAGUUUUAGAAGACUCAAAACAAACAUUAGCUAGCUUGAUGUUGUGCAAAUUUUAAUGUACUCGCAAGCGCACGAAUCUAUUGUAGUAUAGACUAAUGGUGACGAGUGUCGAUCCCACGAGGAGGUGGAUUUUUAAUUAUAUAUAGAAUUAAUUUUGUAAAUGGGUGGUUGGAAUUGUGGUGGAAGUGAUUUAAAAUAUGCUAAAAUUGGAAUUGCAAUGGCGAGAAUAAAUUGUAGAGAAAAUCGAUUAAAUUGACGUACUUGGGUAUCUGGAUCUGUAUCAACAUGCAUCAUGGGCUAAAUAAUCCGUAUUAAUGUCAAUUAAAUCAUGAGGGGGGAAUCCACACCUCAUGAACCACGCUCUAAUCAAUAUGGUGCUAAGGGCUUAUCGUGCCAAAUAAUAAUAACCUUAUACUAGAGAGCCGGUGUAACCAAGGCGGUAUCUAGACAAGAUCAGUAUUAUUUGUCGACGAUAAGUCAAAUCAUCCACAAAAACUAGAGGGGAAAAGAAAAUAAAUUUACCAAAUAAAGCCCAUGACACAUGUUGAGACUUCACCUUCAACCCAAGCUUGAAAGAAAAUUAGCCACUCAUAAUUGAACUAGGGGCAAAAAGGGAAUUGAUUAAAAUACAAAGAAAAUACAAGAUGGAGAAGGAAUUACAGAAAAUGGAUCCCAAAAAUGGAUUCAGAGAUAUCAAAUUAGGGGGGGAGGCCCCCCUUUUUAUAGAUACAUGGAGUAAAUCAUGGCCAUCGGAUUAAAAACAGUUUGGACGCUCAGGAUUGCGCCACGUCAUCAGUCAACAGUCCACGGUUUGACCACGCGGAUGAACAGUAACACGGUUUGACUCGGAUGAACAGUAACACGGUUUGGUUGAAAAUAAUCCUGUGUGAUGCAUGUACCGUACGCGAGAUUUUUCAUCCACUGAUAUGCUGCCACGUCACCAUCAACAGUACAUAAGAAUUUUAUCCCAACAGGAUCGUGACACCUCAUCAGUCAAUGCCACAUCAUCGGUCAAUGCCACGUCAUCGAUCCGUCUAUGUGAACAGUGUUGUGAACAGUAACGUAGUUAGUACCGUACACGUGAAUAGUACCGUACAUAUGAAUAGUGCUAUUUUUCCUUUUAUGCUCCUCCUAAGGUUUUCGACCGUCCUGAGUUCAAAAGUGAUGUCCGUUUUGCCGUCUGAUCUCUCCUUUAUUGUGAAAUGACUAUAAUGCCCCUAAAAUAGAUAAAAUACUUAAUUAAAAUAAAACACAUGUAAUUAAAUCACAAGAAGGUUAAAUACAUAAAAGUAAGGGUUGUUAGUAAGACUUGAAAUGUAAAAUGACGGUUUUCUCCUUUAUAAAUAUGCAUUUUCUAACACUCAACACUUAACACUACUAGGAUUAAAUGACAACAUAGACACUGGAUUGCUGAUGCAACUUAUUGACUCAGACAUAAAAGAUGAAGACAAAACAGUAGCAUAAAGAGUUUUGCUCACACUCAGGUGAGUAGGCAAGCACAGCAACUCAUAAAGCCCCUCUCUAGCCAUUCCUUUCACCAGAAUUUUCCCUUGCCUCUUGUCCUUGAUAAAGCACACAGAUUUUUGAAAUUCAAUGUCAAUAUCAUUGUCAUGUAAUAAUCUGGAAAUGCUAAUGAGAUUUUUAGUGAUGCUUGGCACAAAUAAUAUGUCAUUCAAGGCAAUGUGUUUAUGUGGAUUUGAAGUGGAAAGCAUAGAAUUACCAACAUGAGAGAUCAGGAGUUUUUCACCAUUUCCAACAGUUAAUUUUUCAUUACCUUGAUACUCAGAGUUGAUGUUUAUGUUACCAAGAGCAUUUGUCACAUGGUUUGUGGCACCACUGUCCAGGUACCAGGCUCCACUGCUUUGGCCAUCAGUUGCAGCCACAUAUGCACCUCUUUGUUCUCUCCUUUGGCUUGGUUGUGGCACAUAAUUCUUUUUGAAUCUGUGCCAGCAAUCAGCAGCUGUGUGUCCCAUUUUCCAGCAAAUUUGACAAGGCCUUUUUGGAUUUGAACCAUCCUCAUCACUUACAGCUUUACCUUUCCCUUUGUCCUGAGAGUUCUGAUUUCCCUGACCAGAUCCAUUUCCAGGGGUUCUGAAAAUUAUUCCAGGCUGGUGUUGGUUUCCAGCCCUGUUGUAGUUGUUCCAAUUCCUUCUUCCAUUUCUUGCUUGUGCAUAGUUUGCCUCUAUAGUCCCUGAGCUUAAGUUAUGUUCAGUUCUGUUUUCUUGACUGAGAAGCAUGCCAUAGACUUCAUAAUGUGAGGGACUUUCUUGCAUUGAGUUUAUGCUAGCUAUAACUGGGUCAUAUUCUGAUUCUAAACCAGCAAAUACAUACAUGAUAAAGUCAUCAUCACUCAUGUUACUCCCUGCAGCCCUAAGAGCAUUCAAUAUGGACUUCAUUCUAGAGUAAUACUCAUGAAUAGUUAAUGAACCCUUUUUGGUGGUCUGGAUUUGUGUUCUGAGGUGUAAGAUUCUAGCUCUAGUUCUUGCACCAAACUGAUUGGAAAGAGUUGUCCACACCUCAAGAGAAGUGGAACAAUCCACCACAGUGCCUAAAACUUCCUCAGUCAGUGAAGAUAACAACCAACUCAGAAGAAUGUGGUCUUGUUUCUUCCAGACUUGGUAUUCUGGGUUGGGUGUGGUAACUAUUGUUUGGUCUUGUCCAAGGUUUAUGAAGACUCUAGGAGGGCAGAUAUGACUGCCAUCUAUGAACCCCUCAAGCUCGUUUGCUCUAAUGCUAGAAAUCACUUGUGAUCUCCAGAGCAUGAAAUUGUUUUGGUUGAGCUUAAUGGGGGUUGUGAAUACAUAUGUGCUGCUAGUGAUGUGUUGAGUGGGUGAGGGUGUGUUGUGACUUGAACUUCGUUCAGUGUUUUGAUUUUCAUUUUGAUUUAAGUUGCCCAUCUGAUCAUUUUGAUUCACAUUUGCUUGUGUGCUGCUACUGCUUGCCAUAGCUUUAAAGAUGGCUCUGAUACCAACUUAAAAUUCUUAGAGAAUUGUUUUUUCUUAGCAAGCAGAGCAGAGUAAAACCAGAGAGCUUUCGUUUUCUGAAAAUAAAACUUGAAUUAAUUUCAUUGCUUACAGGCCAACGUAUAUAUACAUAAGAAAACAAAAUGACAGCUAGCUAAAAGAUAACAAAUUCAGAUAAAACAAAAACAAUCACUAAAUCAUUGGCCAAUAAUAUAAAGCUUCUAGAAUCUUCAUCCAAUCAUCCCAUGUGCUGAUAUUCCUCUGUGUAACUGUUUUGCCACCUCAUUGAAUUCCUCUCAUUUCUUUCAUCAGCUGACUGUAAUUGUGAGUAGCUCAGGUGACAUGCCACUGUAGCAUUGAGGUCAUCAGUUGACUGGCUAAGAUCAUGGCUGCCAUGGCU
This 6560-nucleotide long non-coding RNA is filed under the name Citrus maxima (pomelo). RNAcentral's name for it is "long non-coding RNA (CMAX_LNC000926)". Lineage: Eukaryota; Viridiplantae; Streptophyta; Magnoliopsida; Sapindales; Rutaceae. The record is from RNAcentral.